Molecule: ribosomal RNA, 839 nt
Filed under: Escherichia coli
Lineage: Bacteria; Pseudomonadati; Pseudomonadota; Gammaproteobacteria; Enterobacterales; Enterobacteriaceae
Description: partial 23S ribosomal RNA
Rfam family: Bacterial large subunit ribosomal RNA
Source: RNAcentral
UGUGUGUUAGUGGAAGCGUCUGGAAAGGCGCGCGAUACAGGGUGACAGCCCCGUACACAAAAAUGCACAUGCUGUGAGCUCGAUGAGUAGGGCGGGACACGUGGUAUCCUGUCUGAAUAUGGGGGGACCAUCCUCCAAGGCUAAAUACUCCUGACUGACCGAUAGUGAACCAGUACCGUGAGGGAAAGGCGAAAAGAACCCCGGCGAGGGGAGUGAAAAAGAACCUGAAACCGUGUACGUACAAGCAGUGGGAGCACGCUUCGGCGUGUGACUGCGUACCUUUUGUAUAAUGGGUCAGCGACUUAUAUUCUGUAGCAAGGUUAACCGAAUAGGGGAGCCGAAGGGAAACCGAGUCUUAACUGGGCGUUAAGUUGCAGGGUAUAGACCCGAAACCCGGUGAUCUAGCCAUGGGCAGGUUGAAGGUUGGGUAACACUAACUGGAGGACCGAACCGACUAAUGUUGAAAAAUUAGCGGAUGACUUGUGGCUGGGGGUGAAAGGCCAAUCAAACCGGGAGAUAGCUGGUUCUCCCCGAAAGCUAUUUAGGUAGCGCCUCGUGAAUUCAUCUCCGGGGGUAGAGCACUGUUUCGGCAAGGGGGUCAUCCCGACUUACCAACCCGAUGCAAACUGCGAAUACCGGAGAAUGUUAUCACGGGAGACACACGGCGGGUGCUAACGUCCGUCGUGAAGAGGGAAACAACCCAGACCGCCAGCUAAGGUCCCAAAGUCAUGGUUAAGUGGGAAACGAUGUGGGAAGGCCCAGACAGCCAGGAUGUUGGCUUAGAAGCAGCCAUCAUUUAAAGAAAGCGUAAUAGCUCACUGGUCGAGUCGGCCUGCGCG